RNAcentral lists this ribosomal RNA (408 nucleotides) under uncultured bacterium. RNAcentral describes it as "partial 16S ribosomal RNA". It matches the Rfam family "Bacterial small subunit ribosomal RNA", at positions 28 to 526 of the family's 1533-position model. The record is from RNAcentral.
GACGAACGCUGGCGGCGUGCUUAACACAUGCAAGUCGAACGAAGUGGCGAACGGGUGAGUAACGCGUAAUCCACCUGCCCUUCAGAGGGGGACAACAGUUGGAAACGACUGCUAAUACCGCACACUGCAAGAGGGGAUUUCGUCUGAUUAGCUAGUGGGAGGGGUAACGGCCCACCAGGUCGAUGAUCAGUAGCCGGUUUGAAAGGAGGAACGGCCACAUUGGGACUGAGACAAGGCCUAGUAUCCUACGGGAGGCAGCAGUGGGGAAUUGUGCUCAAUGGAGGAAAGGCUGAAUGGGCAACGCCGCGUGAGUGAUGACGGCCUUCGGGUUGUAAAGCUCUGUUAAGCGGGACGCGGUACCGGAAUAGAAAGCCACGGCUAACUACGUGCCAGCAGCCGCGGUAAUAC